Molecule: unclassified non-coding RNA, 223 nt
Filed under: soil metagenome
Description: partial internal transcribed spacer 1
Source: RNAcentral
CCGAGUUAGGGUUCUCUGAAAACGAAGCCCGACCUCCCAACCCUGUGUUUAUACCGACCACUGUUGCUUCGGCGGACCGCCUCUCCUCCCUGUUUACCAGGAGGGUUGUGGGCGCCGGGGGCGAGAGAUCGCCCCUGGAGCGCGUCCGUCGGACGGCCAUCAAACAAACUCUUUUUAGAAACCACCUUCUGAAAACCUUUUAGUUAUUGAAUUAACAAAAACA